This 2394-nucleotide long non-coding RNA is filed under the name Danio rerio (zebrafish). RNAcentral describes it as "si:ch211-195b21.5 (ENSDARG00000117464.1)". The record is from RNAcentral. Lineage: Eukaryota; Metazoa; Chordata; Actinopteri; Cypriniformes; Danionidae.
GUCAUUUUGCCUUUGUAAAGUGAGCAAAACAGUUUUGAACAGGCAUUGUUUUGAAUCGCCUAUAUAAUGUGCGUUACUUCUCCAGUCCUGCAGACGGCGCUGUGACUGGACACAGACUCAUAUUAGACCCAGAAGAGCUCAUAGCUCAGAGUGAAUGGAAACAAACUCGUUACAACAACACAUGUAUCUAUGAGAUAUUGAUGUUUAAAAAUGUACCGAGGUCCGUCGAACCCCGACUAUCACCGGGCACCGGUACCUCCAUCACGUUUCGGACACCCUAUAGCACCUUUCGGACCUCCGCCGUUCUGUCCUCCUUUUGGGGUUCCUCCUCCGGGGCCUCGAUACUGCAGUCCGCAGCCUAUUCCCCCUCCGGGACGCCCGUACGGACCAGGCAAUGAAAACUACAACAGAGAUUCAUUCUACGAGAACCGACCCUUUGGUGGUCUCACUACUGACCAGAGCGGUUCCACGAUGAUCACACCAUCAAAUCAGCUUUUGCUUGGUCAGUCCACACAAAACUGGUCAACUAAAAGUCUGGAUGAGCAAAACCAAGAAGUCAGAAAAAAGGCAGAGGAGUUUCUCCGAAUCCUGGGGGCAAGUGACCGUAUUGAGCCAGCAGGAGAUAAAAAUGACAGCACGGAUCGUACAGCAGACAAACACUCGAGUCGAGCACGCAGUCGGAGCAGAGGAAGGAGCCGCGCUCGCAGUCGCAGCAGGAGUCGUGGCAAGAGCCGGGGCCGCAGUCGAGCUAGGAGCCGCGGAAAGAGUCGAGCUCGCAGCAGAUCACGCAGUCGCAGUCGAGGUAAAAGCCGCACAAGGGCCAAAAGUCGAGCCAGGAGCCGCAGCCGUAGCCGCAGCCGCAGUCACGGGAAGAGCAGCACACACAGCAAGAGUCAGCCUCGCCUGAGCCCCAGCCACACCAAACAGACUCACAGAGGAACAGCAGAGGGCAACCACAGCUCCAGCAGCACCAGCGGUGGAGGCACUCAAAGCUCUAACACCAUGCCUGAUCUCUUUCAAGGACUAAGACAGAUCCUUCAGAACAAAGAGCUGGAGAAACACCUGCCUUUGGUCAAGAACGCCCUCCUUAGAAGCCAGAUGAAUGAUGAAACCAUAUAUCCAGAAAAUCAAUCUGCACUGAGAACCUUCCAGGACCCUGAGCCGAGGUUUGAAACCGAACCCUCUGCUGGACUGUAUUACAGCUCUUCGUUUCCUCAGGAGACGACGGGUGUAGACAGCAGCAGCAGCUUUUCCAAUUUCUUAUCCUGGAACCCCGCUAACCUUCCUUCAGAGGCCAAGCCUGCAAUUCAGAGUGUUGAAGAUGAAGAAAAGUUCCUUUAUGGAGAGGAAGAGGAGAGAUCUAAACCUCAGGGUGUGACGGUUCCUCUGGCCCAGACUAGAUCUGUGAGAUCUCCGCUUCAUCACCUCAAUAAAGAGCACCAGUCCCACAGUCUCCAGGAGCCCACAGCACACGCUCUACCUGCAAGCAUGACACCCGCAGCUUCCAGCACAUCCAAAGUCACCCCGGAGGAAUGUGAGAAGGUGAAAAACCUGCUGAAGACCAUCGGCCUCAAUCCAGGUAUGGCCGAUAUCUGUAAAAUGGCUGCCAGAUUAAAGGAGAAAAAGGAAGAACAUGGAGCAAAUCCUUCACUUUCAAUGCUCAAACCAGCUCUGGAGGCUCUGCAAGCUCUGUCUAGAGCAUCCAAAACUGACGACAGUAGAAGUAAUCGCUCUGGAAGCAGCCAUUCUAAUCUAGAGGCCAAGCGAGACAAGAAGAAGGAUGAGAAGGAGCGUGAGAGACGAGAGAAUCAGAUCCACAAGAAAAGGAAGGAGUAUCUGGUGAAGGAACUGGAGGGUCUGCUGAAGCAGGAAGGCAGCGGUGAUCUGAUCCCAGUGAUGGGCUUCUUCUGCCAGCGCUGUGAGGAGUUUUUCGGGGACAUGCACAGUGCCGAGAAACAUUUAGCAAACCACAGUCGCCACGACAGGAGCAAGACAACAGAGCAGCACAAGGACUCCAAAAGACACGUAGAGUAUCAUCACCCGUCCUCUAGCAAAUGGGACAGUCCGCCCUCGUCUUCACGCUUCCAUCAGGACCACAGAGAGCGCAGUCCUGACAGAAAGCACAGUCCAGACAGAAAGCGCAUCAAGGAUGAAAGAAGUCCUCAUUCUCUGGAUGUCAAAAUCAAACAAGAGCCAGAGGAUAAAGACGGGAAAAAAGAGAGUAAAGACAAAUCCAAAGAAAAGAAGGAAAAAACAGAUGAUGAUGAUGAUGAUGACGACGAUGAUGCUGAAACAAAGAGUGAGAAGAAGAAAAAGAAAAAGGAGAAGAAGUUGAAGAAAAAAGAAAAGAAAAAGAAGAAGGACAAGAAGAAGUCUGAGAAGGAUUCACCUUGA